GGUUUGAUCAUGGCUCAGAUUGAACGCUGGCGGGGAUGCUUACACACGCAAGUCGAACGGCAGCACGACUUCUGGUCUGGUGGCGAGUGGCGAACGGGUGAGUAAUGUAUCGGAACGUGCCUAGUAGCGGGGAUAACCACGCGAAAAAGUGUGAAGCACACGUAUACGCCCUUCGGGGGAAAGUGAUUCUCUGGGCCUGCACUAGAGCGGCCGAUAUCGGAUUAGCUAGUUGGUGGGUGCAUCGCUCACUGGUUGCGACGAUCCGUAGCUGGUUUGAGAGGACGACCACACUGGGACUGAGACACGGCCCAGGACUUACGGAGGCAGCAGGGGGAAUUUGGACAAUGGGGGAAACCCCGAUCCAGCCAUCCCGCGUGUGCGAUGAAGGCCUUCGGGUCGUAAAGCACUUUGGCAGGAAGAAACGGCACGGAUAAUACCCUGUGCAACUGACGGCAAUUUGGGUAAGAAGGGGCACCGCUAACUACGUGCCAGCAGCCGCGGUAAUACGUAGGGGUGCAAGCGUUAAUCGGAAUUACUGGGCGUAAAGCGUGCGCAGGCGGUUCGGAAAGAGAUGCGUGAAAUCCCAGAGCUUAACUUUGAACUCGCAUUUUUAAUCACCGAGCUAGAGUGUGUCAGAGGGAGUGUGACCCGCGUGUAGCAGUGAAAUGUAGAUAUGCGGAGGAACACCGAUGGCGAAGGCAGCCUCCUGGGAUAACACUGACGCUCAUGCACGAAAGCGUGGGGAGCAAACAGGAUUAGAUACCCUGGUAGUCCACGCCCUAAACGAUGUCAACGAGCUGUUAAGCCCGGCCUUGGUAGCGCAGCUAACGCGGUUAAUUGCCGCCUGGGGAGACGGUCGCAAGAUUAAAACUCAAAGGAAUUGACAACUUUGCACAAGCGGUGGAUGAUGUGGAUUAAUUCGAUGCAACGCGAAAAACCUUACCUACCCUUGACAUGUCUGGAAUCCCGAAGAGAUUUGGAGUGCUCGCAAGAGAACCUGAACAGGUGCUGCAUGGCUGUCGUCAGCUCGUGUCGUGAGAUGUUGGGUUAAGUCCCGCAACGAGCGCAACCCUUGUCAUUAGUUGCUAAUGAAAGGGCACUCAAUGAGACUGCCGUGACAAACCGAGAAGGUGUAGAUGACGUCGUCCUCAUGGCCCUUAUGGUAGGGGCCACACGUCAUACAAUGAAAUGGGACAGAGAGUGGUCGCCAACCGCGAGGGGGAGCCAAUCCCAGAACCCGAUCAGCCGGAUCGCAGUCUGCAACCUGACUGCGUGAAGUCGGAAUCGCUAGUAAUCGCGGAUCAGCAUGUCGCGGUGAAUACGUUCCCCGGGUCUUGUACACACCGCCCGUCACACCAUGGGGAGGGGCUACCAGAAGUAGUUAGUCAACCGCAGGAGGGCGAUUACCACGGUAGGAUUCAUGACUGGGGUGAAGUCGUAACAAGGUAG
Molecule: ribosomal RNA, 1449 nt
Filed under: uncultured Bordetella sp.
Lineage: Bacteria; Pseudomonadati; Pseudomonadota; Betaproteobacteria; Burkholderiales; Alcaligenaceae
Description: partial 16S-23S ribosomal RNA intergenic spacer
Rfam family: Bacterial small subunit ribosomal RNA
Source: RNAcentral